Molecule: long non-coding RNA, 5686 nt
Organism: Scophthalmus maximus (turbot)
Lineage: Eukaryota; Metazoa; Chordata; Actinopteri; Pleuronectiformes; Scophthalmidae
Exons: 2
Source: RefSeq, a predicted model, not a curated record
UCUGAUGACGUCACGUGAACGUUUACGCACACGCAAAGCUUUGGAAACCCCGCAAAUGUUUGAGCGAGUCCGACAACCACGGCGAGCAAAAGAGUGGCGCGGUCUAUGGAGGUGUCGGGUUUUGAACGUGGCUUUGCCCCCAGACGGAUGACAGGUCCAUCCCCACCACAGAGCUGGCCUUCCUCACCAGCUUGUUCAGUUUGGUGGUGCCACAGCUCCCCAGAGGAAUUCUUACCAAGAGCCCAAAUCACAUCAGCUGACUGUUCUCAGAGUAAAGGAGAAGCAUCUCAAUAACAAGGUCCUCCAAAAUCUCUCACCUCCCCAUGCUGUCACGUGGAGUAAUAACAGGUGCAUCAUCUCAGCUGACAGUACCUCUGAGUCAAUACCAAGAGAUUCUGACUGCAGGUGAGAGCAGGUACUCAGAUUGACUGUCAAACAGAGUUUUUCUUUGUAGCUUAGCUCUGUCUUUAUUAUUUCCAGUCUGAUAUAAAGCCUGCAUUGCAGCAACCACUGCCCCCUAAACGCAGGUCAAUCUUACAAUCCUUUUUACCAUCACUCAUGAGUAAAGGUACCUGAAUUCUUCCACUUGGAUGCUACCCCUCCCUAACCUCAACUCAGCAAUCCACCAACCCGACCACAUCACACUCAACUGCAAACCGCUCCAGUAGACUUUGCUGGUCAUGAUCCAAUGGAGCCAAAAGGACAACAUCAUCCACAAACAGAAGCAAUGCCACCCUAAUAGCAUCCAACUGGACACUUUCCAGGCCUCAGCUGUGCUUUGAUAUCCUGUUCACGAAUAUGAAAGGAGAGGUGAAAGAGCACAAUUUUUUUUCCCCAGAGUGCUGCAAAUCAACUUCCCAAACAUAAUGCUUUGGUAAUGCAGUUGCAGCCAUAAUUUAAUCAUUACAUUCCACCGAGUAUCUCAACAACUGUAGAAUAGAUGGAAAUGGCCUAAUGUGCAGAAGAAGAACUAAUGACUGUUCAUCCCCAGACUUUUCCUCUAGUGUCACCAGCUAGUCAUGCUAGAACGGUCACGGUGUGCAUGUCAGCAUGAUAUAUGUUGUCUUGUCUUUUCUCUCCCUUUGGUUCGAUCCUCACUCGGGUCUAGAAGUCCUUGGAUUCAUGGUUAUUGUGUCAGUGACCCAACACUUAAUAGACUGACAAUCUCCCUUUGACAACUGCCUUCAAUCUUGCAGUUCAGGCUGUUGUAUAUACCAAACAAGCACAAGGACCUGCUGGUAACAUGCAAGCAUUCAGCCUUGGUUUGCAAGUGACAGACUUUAGUGUAGGAGUGAGAUGGAAAAGUACCACAUAUCAUGUGCCUGUGAGGCAAUCUCAACACCAUCUGCGUGUCCAUCAUAUUACCCCAACCCUGUCCCAGUAGUGUUCAGAAAAUGAUGGUCAUGUAAUCAAAAAUGUCUCUGUCAGGGCCAAUGCAAAAGUGCUCAGGUUUGGUCUGACAUGAAAGCUUUAUAAAGGUGGACAUAAAUACACACAUUAAGUAUAGACUGACAUUAAGUUGACAAUGAGAAGACCAAACUCAAAGUAUCACAAAUCAUUUCACCAAACCUUUACUGGCUUUUCACACAAUUAUUAUUCUUGUUGCACAGUGAAAAACCACAUGAUAUACAACUUACUGCCAAAGCAUAAAAGAUCUGAAUACAACACAACUGCACAUCAACAUCAAAAAUCAAUACUCGUGGUUCUCGUUCAAGGUUUUGAAUUCAUUAACCUUGGCAAUAGCAACAUGUAAGAUUAAAUACACAGUGUGAAACGUUCCUGCUCUGUUUUAAUUGACCGUGGUGUUCAAGGAACAUCCUGAGGCAAGAAAUGUUAAAUUUAGCAACACCAGGCAAAUCUGUCUGGUCCAAGGGGACACCUCGGAGGCUGAAGUCAACAUACUUAACCUGCGCAUUUGCUCGUCCAUCUCUGAAAGUGAUAGGAUUAAUGUAGUAAAUACUUUUAACUGGCAGAUUUUUAGUUUAGCAAAAACUAAUGCUACAUCUCCAAUAAGUCAUGAAGGUUAUAAUGUUCCAUUUUUAUUGAAACUAUCAGAGAGGUGGUUAUUCAAAUGUAUGAUAAUUGUGUAGGCUUAUUCCAGAGAGGUGUGUUAUUUAGCCUAUAUAUGUACAUUGAUAUAAAUAGGGUAGACAAAAUAAUGGAAAACGGCUAUCCAUGCAAUGGAAGAUAAUUCAACAGCACCGUAAACUGCAGUUUUUAAAAUGACAAUACAGUUGAAUCAUCUUCCUAAAAUGUUUUAACAUUACAACCUUCACGACUGAUGUAUUAGACUGCAUUAAUUGUAGCUAGGUGUACCUAAAAAACUUGCCUAGGAUUGUUUUUUUGUCUUUAUGUACUUGAUGCAAUGAUUCAAAAGGAGAAUACAGAUUUUUAAAUUCUGAAAAAGCUAAAUACCUAGGUCACAGUCUUAUGCAGAGAAAACAUUGAAAUAGAGAUAGUUUGCAUAGAUAUGAUGAACAACAAUCGAUUCAAAAAGAGAGAAUGAAAAACCCACCAUCAGAAACUCAUGUGAAUGUAUAAAGCCUGUUGAAAGACUACUAGGCUUUAGAAAACAGACUUCAAAACAAGUUGAACAAAGUUUUACGACAAAAUGACGACGUGCCAUCAGAAAAUACGUGAGUUUCCUGAAUACAACCAUAUACAGCUAAGCUGAGAUGUGUAAAAAAAAAUAUCUAAAAAAAUAUUUUGUAUUGUUUGUAAUGUUUGUAUUCAUUUUUGCUUCAAGGAGAUUCACAUGUUGGUUGGUUGUCAAAAAUGUAGGAACACAGCACUUCCCCUUAUUCUGACCAGCAGAGGUCCCUAUCAAGCUCUGAUUUUGAAAGCCUGGAGGACUGAACCUUGGUACGAAAAGCUUCACUUAGCCAUCGCAGGCUGUACCAACUUAAAUGAAACCUUUGUGACAGUUUGGUUUUAUUAUCAUAAAUAAACUUUCAAACAGUAGCAUUUAUGAUGUUAACCUAUAAACUGUAGUUUCAGGUUUUGUUGAACACAACGUGUGAUCUGGGAAGUGAUAGAAAUUUUACUCUAUUUCUGUCUGACACUGACAACAUUGAUUACAUUUUUUAGUGUGUGAGCUGACACUGAAGCAAAAAGCAGUAUAACGUGUCCACAUCUUAACAAAAUCACAGUUCAACCACAUAAAGUAUUAAUGACCUUCAGCACUGCAUUAAUUUAAUUUCAUUGCUGAUUAGAGAACUGUGCUGAUUAGUAACCCAUUUGAUGGAUGACAGGAAAUGCCUCCAUUUUCAUCAGUAUUGCCAGACUCCCUGGACGUACUUUCCUGCUUUGCUGGUAUUGAUUAUCUCUCUGUGGCUCUUAUCAAGAUUGCAGUGUUACACGGUGAUUCAUUGGCUCGCAAUGGAGUAGGCAGUGACAUUAAUCACCCUUCACAUAUCAAUAGAAGAGAUGUGCUCACUGCAUUGGCUUGAUGUACAGUAACUUCAUUAUAGUUCAAAAUGACUAUAGAUUAGAGUUUAUAGUUCGACCAUGUGGCUGAUUCAAAAUCAGAGUCACUGAGAAAUAUUUUAUGAUGAGGAAUUUUUAAGCUAAAAACUGGCAAUAAAUUAUAUCCAUUAUUGUAGUAUAGGUCCCUUAUUUUAAAUAUAAUAAUAUAUAAUGUAAUAAACGUUUAAAAACAGUGCAUAAAUGGACUUCAUGGCAUGCAGUAUAAUUCUGUCAGCUUCAACUGCACAUCAUUUUAAACUAUCUGUCCUGUGUGUUAAAGCCCAUUGAGCCUCUAACCCAGGUUCAUUGCAUUGAGCCUCCCUCGGGCACAUAUCUUGUAAAAAAGUAAGCUGCCUUCAGUGAUUCUUCGGUGAACCGGAAAAGAUUUCUACAUAUUGCCAUGUCAGUGCGUGUUUUGUCCAUUUUGGAAUGCAGAAAGAAGUCUUUGUAUUUGGUACGAAAUAAUUCCGAUAGUAAAAGAUAUUUUGGUAAUAACUUCUGUCAUAUCCAACUGUCUGUCACAUACUUGAUAGCUUUUUAAUUGAAAAAUAAAAGAAGAAAAAAUCCUAUAAAAUAUGGGGAAAUCAUGUCAAAACUGGUUGUUGAAAUGUUCACAGUUGUCAAUCACUGCUUACAAUGUGAUGGGGAAUGGUGACAUUAGGGACUAAAGCAAGUCCAGAUUUUAAAAAACAGCAGGUUACAUAAAAUACACAGAUGAUUCUAUUCAUAUUAAACUCAUUCUUAUCUUUUGGAAAUUUUUAAUCAGCAUAACUGUAUAAGCUGUCCUUGCAGGGCUAUGAUGAGUGCAGUAAUUAGUUAAUUGAAUGCAGUAUAUACUGGGGCGACUGUACAGUUCAGCGCAGCAAAACCUCUGCUGUGCUGACUCAGUAUUUGAGCUUCCUCUAGAAGUUACAUAAUGUUAAAAGGCAAGCUAAAUUAAGGUGUUUUCCGAAAUUAAAUGGCUGCAAGUUUUCAGUGGUGGGCAGUAAAUGCGCUUCAUAAAAAAAUAGUCGAAGGGGCCGAGGCAACGUCUAAAUCUAAAAAUGCUUCCAAAUAGAGACAACAUAUGGAACUUGUUUAAUGCACUGUGAGUUUACCUUAUGAAUGUAUGACGUGUAGAGUGACAAAGAGAGCGUGCAAACUUAAUGCUCUUAUUGUGUUUAAAUCUGUUUGCUCAGGAAAGAGCUGUUUCCAAUGCUGAUGUUGUUUUUCGGCAAACAUGGUGUGGUUUGAAUCCCCACUCUGGACAAAGCACACUUUACUCAUGCUGCAGAUGACACCGCCGGCCCACAUCUGAACAAACAACGAGUACGGGAGCGAGCGCUGCGUGACAGCUGCACAAAAUCUACCAGCAACAGGCGUAAUCAAACACAACGCCAGCAUCAUUCAGUGACUGUGGUCAUAAAAGUACAAUUAUACAAAGACAGGUGCACCAGCAUGAUCCCUAUACCAGACAUGCUCACACGUCCUGAAGAUGCAGCCACACAGAGCUGUGUCUGUAAAUACCACUCGACCGGGUUCCUAAACAGCCAGGCGUAUACACGGCAGACAGAGCCUUUCACUCGGCAAACAAGGCUAAAACCAGGAACUCUCACUCUAUGACCAGUCUCCACACUGUUGUCAUAUUCAGGAGCUGUGGCGCUUUUGAUAUAUACUGGAGAACGCUGUGUUCACAACCAGCUAAGCCCCUUCUUGUUACAGUCAUCCAUUAUCACACCACCAACUCACUGGCAGCUGCUACACAGCUCAACUGGUUCCUCGUUAAGCUCAUUCAGUUACUGGGGAGAAAACAAGCCCUAAGCCUUUGUACGGUAAAAGGUUUGGACACUGGAACAAUAAAAUCAAUGAGACAAUUUGCAUUAAUUUGGUCCAAAAAUAAUAAAAUCAAUCCUGUCAAUUCCAUUCCAUUGCACAAUUCACACUAACAAAUUAAGAUUCCUUAAGUGUGUCUGUCUUUUGUCUAUUUUUGAUUGAUUUUCAAAAAAAUUUAAUGGACAUUCAGACUUGUUUGCAGUCAUGAAUGAUCUGGUGCUUUUCUGGGAGUUUUAUGGUCAUUUUAUUGUUUCAUUGUUUGUGUUGAUUGUUUGUUGACCAUUGUAUAUUUGUCUUCGUCCUGUCCAGAGACAAGCAUUUAAAACUGUAGCUGAGGUUCGUGCUGAAUACUUGUCCGUAUAAAAGAAAAAUACUGUAUAGAAGAUUAAAUCAAUAAUUGAGGAUUCAA